UGCUUCUUACAAAUUUUGGGAAUAAAAAGGUAUCUUGAAAUAGGAGGCAGAGUAAACUUGCCCCAUAUACACCUCAGCUCAGGCUCUCUGCCUGGUUUGUAUUGUGAAUGGGGAGACAUUG
Small nucleolar RNA from Myotis lucifugus (little brown bat), 121 nucleotides. NCBI's taxonomy places the organism in Eukaryota, Metazoa, Chordata, Mammalia, Chiroptera, Vespertilionidae. The record is from Ensembl.